Molecule: ribosomal RNA, 440 nt
Filed under: uncultured bacterium
Lineage: Bacteria
Description: partial 16S ribosomal RNA
Rfam family: Bacterial small subunit ribosomal RNA
Source: RNAcentral
CCUACGGGAGGCAGCAGUGGGGAAUAUUGCACAAUGGGGGAAACCCUGAUGCAGCGACGCCGCGUGAGUGAAGAAGUAUUUCGGUACGUAAAGCUCUAUCAGCAGGGAAGAAAAUGACGGUACCUGACUAAGAAGCCCCGGCUAACUACGUGCCAGCAGCCGCGGUAAUACGUAGGGGGCAAGCGUUAUCCGGAUUUACUGGGUGUAAAGGGAGCGUAGACGGCAGCGCAAGUCUGGAGUGAAAUCCCAUGGCUUAACCAUGGAACUGCUUUGGAAACUGUGCAGCUAGAGUGCAGGAGAGGUAAGCGGAAUUCCUAGUGUAGCGGUGAAAUGCGUAGAUAUUAGGAGGAACUCCAGUGGCGAAGGCGGCUUACUGGACUGUAACUGACGUUGAGGCUCGAAAGCGUGGGGAGCAAACAGGAUUAGAUACCCGAGUAGUC